Molecule: ribosomal RNA, 253 nt
Filed under: uncultured bacterium
Lineage: Bacteria
Description: partial 16S ribosomal RNA
Rfam family: Bacterial small subunit ribosomal RNA
Source: RNAcentral
UACAGAGGGGGCAAGCGUUAUUCGGAAUUAUUGGGCGUAAAGGGCGCGUAGGCGGCUUGGCAAGUGGAUGGUGAAAUCCCUCGGCUUAACCGAGGAACUGCCGUCCAAACUGCUUCGCUUGAGACCGGGAGAGGUGAGUGGAAUUCCCAGUGUAGCGGUGAAAUGCGUAGAUAUUGGGAGGAACACCAGUGGCGAAGGCGGCUCACUGGACUGGUACUGACGCUGAGGCGCGAAAGCGUGGGGAGCAAACGGG